RNAcentral lists this transfer RNA (67 nucleotides) under Proscopia sp. HS-2014. RNAcentral's name for it is "tRNA-His". The record is from RNAcentral. Lineage: Eukaryota; Metazoa; Arthropoda; Insecta; Orthoptera; Proscopiidae.
GCUAAAGUAUUUUAUUAAAAAUAUUGGUUUGUGGUGCCAUUGAAGUGAAUUUGUUUUACCUUUAGUC